UUAACAGUAAUGUUGAGGAUGGAGGCAGUGGUGUAGCAAUUCUUUCGAAUGUAUGAACAGAAAUCUGAUAUAAGGCUAAAUGAUGGAUGAGAUUGCUAUCCAAACCUAAGUUCAAAAGGUAAAUGUAAAACCAAGAUAGUAAAUCAGGGCGUUGUGAAAGAAACAGGAUUUGU
RNAcentral lists this non-coding RNA (173 nucleotides) under Thomasclavelia cocleata. The record is from RNAcentral. Lineage: Bacteria; Bacillati; Bacillota; Erysipelotrichia; Erysipelotrichales; Coprobacillaceae.